GCUAACGCUGGCGGCGUGUCUUAGCCAUGCAAGUCGAGCGGACUUAUGGGGUAACUUAUAAGUCAGCGGCGGACGGCGGAGUAACACGUAGCUAACCUACCCUCUGGACGGGGAUAACCUACCGAAAGGUGGGCUAAUACCCGAUGUAGUCAUCCUGUAUAGGGGUGAUGAAAGGUGGGCUUCUGUUUACAAGCUCAUGCUGGAGGAGGGGGCUGCGGCCUAUCAGGUAGUUGGUAGGGUAAUAGCCUACCAAGCCGAUGACGGGUAGCCGGCCUGAGAGGGUGACCGGCCCGAGGGGCACUGAGAUACGGGUCCCACUCCUACGGGAGGCAGCAGGCUAGAAAUUUGGGCAAUGGGGGAAACCCUGACCCAGUGACGCCGCGUGCAGGAAGGAGCCCUUCGGGGUGUAAACUGCUGUCGUGUAGGGAGAAGGGUACUAAGGUGAAUAAUCUUAGUACUUGACGGUACUACAGGAGGAAGCCCAGGCUAACCUCGUG
RNAcentral lists this ribosomal RNA (497 nucleotides) under uncultured bacterium. RNAcentral's name for it is "bacterial SSU rRNA". It matches the Rfam family "Bacterial small subunit ribosomal RNA", at positions 29 to 507 of the family's 1533-position model. The record is from RNAcentral.